CACGUAGGGUGCGAGCGUUGUCCGGAAUUACUGGGCGUAAAGAGCUCGUAGGUGGUUUGUCGCGUUGUUCGUGAAAACCUGAGGCUUAACCUUGGGCGUGCGGGCGAUACGGGCAGACUGGAGUACUGCAGGGGAGACUGGAAUUCCUGGUGUAGCGGUGGAAUGCGCAGAUAUCAGGAGGAACACCGGUGGCGAAGGCGGGUCUCUGGGCAGUAACUGACGCUGAGGAGCGAAAGCGUGGGGAGCGAACAGG
RNAcentral lists this ribosomal RNA (253 nucleotides) under uncultured bacterium. RNAcentral's name for it is "partial 16S ribosomal RNA". It matches the Rfam family "Bacterial small subunit ribosomal RNA", at positions 524 to 776 of the family's 1533-position model. The record is from RNAcentral.